GACACGUGAAAUCCUGUCUGAAUAUGGGGGGACCAUCCUCCAAGGCUAAAUACUCCUGAAAGACCGAUAGUGAACAAGUACUGUGAAGGAAAGGUGAAAAGCACUUCGAAUAGAAGGGUGAAAGAGAACCUGAAACCGUACGCCUACAAGCGGUCGGAGCAGUUAUAUACUGUGACGGCGUGCCUUUUGCAUAAUGAGCCUACGAGUUAAUUUUACUAGCGAGGUUAAGGUAUUAAGUACUGGAGCCGGAGCGAAAGCGAGUCUGAAUAGGGCGAAUAGUUAGUGGGAUUAGACGCGAAACCUUGUGAUCUACCCAUGGGCAGGUUGAAGCACUGGUAACACAGUGUGGAGGACCGAACCGGUUGACGUUGAAAAGUCUUCGGAUGACCUGUGGGUAGGGGUGAAAGGCCAAUCAAACUGGGAGAUAGCUCGUACUCCCCGAAAUGCAUUUAGGUGCAGCGUUGUAAUAAAGUUUAAUAGAGGUAGAGCUACUGAUUGGAUGCGGGGGUUUCACCGCCUACCAAUUCCUGACAAACUCCGAAUGCUAUUAAAUGUUUCACAGCAGUGAGGGCUUGGGUGCUAAGGUCCAAGUCCGAGAGGGAAAGAACCCGGACCAUCAGCUAAGGUCCCCAAAUAUAUGCUAAGUUGAAAAAACGCGGUUGAACUGCAUUGACAGCUAGGAUGUUGGCUUGGAAGCAGCCAUUCAUUUAAAGAGUGCGUAACAGCUCACUAGUCGAGCGGUUCGGCAUGGAUAAUAAUCGGGCAUAAGCAUAUUACCGAAGCUAUGGCAACGAAAGUUGGGUAGGGGAGCAUUCUAUCGGCGCAGAAGCAUCACUGUGAGGUGAUGUGGAGCUUAUAGAAAAGAAAAUGUAGGCAUAAGUAACGAUAAAGCAGGCGAGAAACCUGCUCACCGAAAGACUAAGGGUUCCUCAGCCAUGCUAAUCAGCUGAGGGUUAGUCGGGACCUAACGCGAACCCGAGAGGGGAAGUGGAUGGACAAUGGGUUAAUAUUCCCAUACUUGCUCACGAAUAAAGGGGACGGUUCAGCUAGACUACUGGAGACUGACGGAAUAGUCAAGACCUAGCCUACGGGCGAAGUUGUUGUAGAGUAACUGGAUCCAAGAAAAGCCGAAGUGAAGCAACCCGUACCAUAAACCGACACAGGUAGUCGAGGAGAGAAUCCUAAGGUGCUCGAGUGAGUCGUGGCUAAGGAACUAGGCAAAAUAGUCUCGUAACUUCGGAAUAAGAGACGCCAACAGCGAUGUUGGCCGCAGUGAAGAGGCCCAGGCGACUGUUUAUCAAAAACACAGGACUCUGCUAAAUCGAAAGAUGCUGUAUAGGGUCUGACACCUGCCCGGUGCUGGAAGGUUAAGGAAGGUGCUUAGCGUAAGCGAAGGCAUUGACUGAAGCCCCAGUAAACGGCGGCCGUAACUAUAACGGUCCUAAGGUAGCGAAAUUCCUUGUCGGGUAAGUUCCGACCUGCACGAAUGGUGUAACGAUCUGGGCACUGUCUCAGCCACGAGCUCGGUGAAAUUGUAGUAUCGGUGAAGAUGCCGAUUACCCGCAAUGGGACGAAAAGACCCUGUGAACCUUUACUAUAACUUCGUAUUGACUUUGAGUAAGUAAUGUGUAGGAUAGGUGGGAGGCUAUGAAGCUGGCACGCUAGUGUUGGUGGAGCCGUUGUUGAAAUACCACCCUUUGCUUACUUGGAGCCUAACUUCUGAACAAGAGUAAGAAGGACAUUGCGUGGUGGGUAGUUUGACUGGGGUGGUCGCCUCCAAAAGAGUAACGGAGGCUUUCAAAGGUACCCUCAGCACGCUUGGUAACCGUGCGUAGAGUGUAAUGGCAUAAGGGUGCUUGACUGUGAGACCAACAAGUCGAUCAGGUGCGAAAGCAGGACAUAGUGAUCCGGUGGUUCCGUAUGGAAGGGCCAUCGCUCAAAGGAUAAAAGGUA
RNAcentral lists this ribosomal RNA (1953 nucleotides) under human oral metagenome. Its description in RNAcentral is "bacterial LSU rRNA". It matches the Rfam family "Bacterial large subunit ribosomal RNA", at positions 421 to 2465 of the family's 2925-position model. The record is from RNAcentral.